Molecule: transfer RNA, 71 nt
Filed under: Parasphaerichthys ocellatus (eyespot gourami)
Lineage: Eukaryota; Metazoa; Chordata; Actinopteri; Anabantiformes; Osphronemidae
Description: tRNA-Val
Rfam family: tRNA
About the family: Transfer RNA (tRNA) molecules are approximately 80 nucleotides in length. Their secondary structure includes four short double-helical elements and three loops (D, anti-codon, and T loops).
Source: RNAcentral
CAUAGCGUAGCUAAAAAGAAAAGCAUCUCUCUUACACUGAGAAGACAUCCAUGCAAAUUGGAUCGCCAUGA